ACAUAACUGGGCAUGAGAAUGUUUUCAGAUUUCUCCAGGCUACAUUUAGCUGACACAGAAAGAGAAGAUGAAAACGGUUAACUCUUGACAUCAGGUCUGUCUACUACUAAGUUUUGGCUUUCGAGAUGGCUCAAUCAUUAAAGCAUCUGUCAUACAAGCAAGAGGACCGGAAUCUGGAUGCCCACGACCCACAUAACAAGCCAUGCAAGGCAGUAUGCACCUGCAACCCUAUGAGCAUGGCAUGACCACAUGGACAGAGAACAUAUACCACCUGCAGAGAAACUGAGAAGCCAUCAGAUUUGGAAAUUAAAAGCAUCUGACUAAUGAAUCCAUAGGCAGUUGGACAAGUACAACAUCUGAAGAAAAAGAACAGAUCAUCAAGAGAAAAUGUCCCAAGAGUCAACUGGUUAGGUGGUAUUGCCCACCUCCAGCUUGUCUAUGCUGCCCUCCAAAGAUGAAGUGGCAAAUGUCUUUGUGUGGUCCCAAUUCCAUUAAAACCUAAAGCUGGUUUUGGGGUUGGAGCUUGGCUCGUCUUUUCUAAACACAUUCAUGCUUAUCAGAAGAGCCACCUGGUAUGGGACAGAAGAUAACAAAAAUAAGAGACUAUUUUAUUGCUACUAAUCUCACAAUCUUUUCGUUUUCAUUUGACUCUCCUAAACUUUUCUAAAGGUAUGAACAUCAUCUCAAAAUCUGUAAGAUUAUUAUGUAUACAUAAACAUUCUGUUUGAUACUAGUAGUCAUAAAGAGUACUAAGUAAUUCUAGAUAUAAGCUUCAUCCAGCUUCAUGUAGCUUACUGUGUUUUCAAGUUUGAGUCUGAAAUAGUUAACUAAGAACAAAGUUUGUCUACCUCAGAUGUACCUAAUAGAUCAUGGUCAUCAAUCUUUUUGGAGAUCUGCUGGAUAUGGAAUUUAAAAUGUUUCUACCAUUCCUGACCCUAACCUUUGAAGUCUCUAAGAAGAUGAUGGGGCCGCAACGAUGAAUUGGAUUGUGGUACCAUUACCCACUGGGAAAAACUGUCCCAGGCCUCUCUUGCCAGGACUCUCUUUCCAGGUUCUGCCCCAGGACUGCCACUAAGCUGACAAAACACCACCCAAAGACCAGCUUCGGACCACAAACUGCUCAGAACAUUCAAAUUGCUAAGUUCCUGGGAGAAUGAUUCCAAAAUUUUGUAUAACUUUGAACUCAAAUACAUAACCCGAAAAAAGACUGCCAAAUACAACUAAGCUGGGCA
Long non-coding RNA from Meriones unguiculatus (Mongolian gerbil), 1232 nucleotides. RefSeq lists it as uncharacterized. The record is from RefSeq and is a predicted model, not a curated record. The transcript has 4 exons. NCBI's taxonomy places the organism in Eukaryota, Metazoa, Chordata, Mammalia, Rodentia, Muridae.